RNAcentral lists this ribosomal RNA (492 nucleotides) under uncultured bacterium. RNAcentral describes it as "partial 16S ribosomal RNA". It matches the Rfam family "Bacterial small subunit ribosomal RNA", at positions 29 to 507 of the family's 1533-position model. The record is from RNAcentral.
AGUGAACGCUGGCGGUAGGCCUAACACAUGCAAGUCGAACGGCAGCACAGUAAGAGCUUGCUCUUACGGGUGGCGAGUGGCGGACGGGUGAGGAAUACAUCGGAAUCUACUUUUUCGUGGGGGAUAACGUAGGGAAACUUACGCUAAUACCGCAUACGACCUACGGGUGAAAGCAGGGGAUCUUCGGACCUUGCGCGAUUGAAUGAGCCGAUGUCGGAUUAGCUAGUUGGCGGGGUAAAGGCCCACCAAGGCGACGAUCCGUAGCUGGUCUGAGAGGGUGAGAUCAGACACACGGAAACAGAGACGGGGCAGAGACUCAAGGGAGGGACAGGAGGGGAAAUUUUGGAAAAGGGCGCAAGCCUGAUCCAGCCAUACCGCGUGGGUGAAGAAGGCCUUCGGGUUGUAAAGCCCUUUUGUUGGGAAAGAAAAGCAGCAGGUUAAUACCCCGCUGUUCUGACGGUACCCAAAGAAUAAGCACCGGCUAACUUCGUG